UGCCUGCCACUUACCAGAUGCCUGAGAAGUGCCUUUUAGAUGAAGAUGUGAAAUAUGAAGCUAGCUGAGGACAUGCAAAAGGAUUGCUGAGCAUCACUGAAGCCUCACCUGAGCCGGACUGCAGACUGGCGGAUGAAAGGAUUCUCUGUCCGGUUUCUGCCUCCUGUGAGAAUUCUCAGGAAAAUUUCCCAGGGGUUCCAGAAUGACAGUCCAGAGUGCGCAGCUCGGAUCCGGAGCACCGGCUUCACGUCCCAGCUCCAGCACUAACCAGGGAGGGACCUCGGUGAGUCAAUCCACUUCUCUGUCCCGGUUUUCUCAUUGGUAAAAUGUGUUGAGGACUCAACAGUGCCUGAAGUGGUGUGUUGGCUACUGUUCUUAAAACUGCACAUAAAAUGGAAUCCAAGAGGAGAAAUAGGGGACCUCUGGGAACCAGAGAUGUCUCAUCUGGAACGAUGUGUAUACUCUGGAGUGAAAUCAAAGUUUUAAAUCAAGAACUGAGGCAUUGGCCCCUCGUGUCCCUCUUGAGGUGUGUUUUCCAGGGCAGCAGGUUCGCCUUUGGUUUCCAGAUCCAUGGAGACCCAGCAGUGAUAAAGGAGAGUAAUCAGAAGGGAUUUUCUGGGGGUCAGCCCCUGGAAAAAGCUAGACGGGGCAGAGCUCCUGCUUCUGUGGCCCCCAACACCAUCCACCAGGCCACCCCCCCCCCAAGGGCCGCCUCUGCACCAGCUCCUUUGAGGCACCCAGCAGGAGAGACUCCCAACAGCCGCCCAAUUCACAACACAUUCAGCAAUGUUAACAAGAUCUAAUUAGUUUCUUGAUGUUUAAUUUCCUCCCUUUCAUGUUUAAACUAGUUCCCAAACAGUUCUGUUUCCAGCCAAUUCAGGAUGGAAAAUCCUCCCUAAGUAACCUCCCUAUUUCUGGCCACCCCCUGCAGCUCCUCUGCGGGCUCCCCUGGGGGGAUCUCUGCAAAUGGGGCCAGGAGGUAAAUACUGACGAAUUUAAUCAGGUCCGAGUCCUAGAUGAGUGACAGGCUGCACACCUCCCCAUGGAGAGGAGAGGUGUAGGGGCAAGGGAGGCCCAGCAGAGGACCGGGCACCAGGCCAGGUGCUCCUGGGAGUGGAAGGCAAGUGUUGGGGCACAAAGCUAGGCCCUGGCUCCCUGCAGUGAGUAGCCAAAGAGCUUUAAAUCCCAGUGGGAAGGUUGCAGGCCAAGACUGGGGCUUCUGAAGGCUUAAGGAGGCACCUUGGCCUGAAAGGGGAAUGCCACAAGAGACUCCUCCCCAGAAAUAGCCACAUCAAGAAAGGAUGUCAUGUCUCGGGUCAAGGAGUGGUAGAGGGACAGUGCUGCUGGGAGCCACCAGUGCUGACCCCUGAGCUUCUCCGCACCUACCCUGGGCCAUGUCUCCACACGACCCCUUCUCUUCAGGCCAAUAUCCUUCCCUGGAUCUAUGUGACAGUGUCAGAGAAGCCUGCCUUCCCCUUUCCUUGUCUGAGUGCUGGUAUCAGCCACCCUGGCGGUCCCCUCUCCAUUCCACCCUGCCAGGUUUGGGGUCCAGCUUCCAGCUGCUGAGCCACAUGUCAGUGAGCUCAAAGCCCAGCAUCCGGAGGGAAGUAGAAAGCUGCAGUGUGGAGGGCGGGGCCUGCCUGGCUCCAAGGCCCAGCCUUCCCAUUUCCCCAUCCACCUCAUAGACCCCGUAAUAGAUGAGAAAGCACCUGCCGAAAGCCAGAUACCGUGGACAAGUACAAGAGGGCAGUGCUGCAGCCCCCAUGCCCACUCCCCAGGGGAUUUCAGUUCCUUUCCCCCACGGAUGUGUGUGCGUGUGUCCAGCGUGUUGCCAGCGCCAACCGCCCUCCCCCAGCUGCAGGGGGUAGUCACCAGAAACAGGAAGUAAAAUGAAGCAAAACCCAGAAGUGAAACCAACCUAAUCUCUCACCACAUCUGGAAGAGGUGGCCUAGGGGCUCUGACACCACGAAGACCCAGGGCAACCUGGGGGCUGCAUCUGAAGAUGAAAGGCUCUGGGGAGAGGCUGGUAGGAACAGGUGGGGAGGGGGUGAUAGGCUGAUACCCCAUCUGAACCAGGCAUACAAAUGAGACUAAGCAAAGUUCUCUAAUUCUGGAAUCCCCAAAGUGCCCUUCCAGUUGAUCUCUGGAUUUGUGCCCGUAGAUGCCAACAAGGGCUUAUGUUGGGGGAGGCAGCCUGCCCCUCCUCUGGGGUAGCACCCCCUCAGCAGCACCCUCAGUGCUUGAAGACACAGAGACAGCACUUCGUGGGGGU
Canis lupus familiaris (dog) is the source of this 2273-nucleotide long non-coding RNA. RefSeq lists it as uncharacterized. Lineage: Eukaryota; Metazoa; Chordata; Mammalia; Carnivora; Canidae. The record is from RefSeq and is a predicted model, not a curated record. The transcript is spliced from 3 exons.